AUCGCUUCUCGGCCUUUUGGCUAAGAUCAAGUGUAGUAUCUGUUCUUAACAGUUUUAAUAAAGAUUUUAUUUAUUUAUUUGACAGAGAGACACAGC
RNAcentral lists this small nuclear RNA (96 nucleotides) under Zalophus californianus (California sea lion). Its description in RNAcentral is "U2 spliceosomal RNA (ENSZCAG00015016041.1)". It matches the Rfam family "U2 spliceosomal RNA". Rfam says of the family: U2 is a small nuclear RNA (snRNA) component of the spliceosome (involved in pre-mRNA splicing). Complementary binding between U2 snRNA (in an area lying towards the 5' end but 3' to hairpin I) and the branchpoint sequence (BPS) of the intron results the bulging out of an unpaired adenosine, on the BPS, which initiates a nucleophilic attack at the intronic 5' splice site, thus starting the first of two transesterification reactions that mediate splicing. The record is from RNAcentral. Lineage: Eukaryota; Metazoa; Chordata; Mammalia; Carnivora; Otariidae.